This 253-nucleotide ribosomal RNA is filed under the name uncultured prokaryote. RNAcentral's name for it is "partial 16S ribosomal RNA". It matches the Rfam family "Bacterial small subunit ribosomal RNA", at positions 524 to 776 of the family's 1533-position model. The record is from RNAcentral.
UACGUAGGGCGCAAGCGUUGUCCGGAAUUAUUGGGCGUAAAGAGCUCGUAGGCGGUCUGUCACGUCGGCUGUGAAAACCCAGGGCUCAACCCUGGGCCUGCAGUCGAUACGGGCAGACUAGAGUCCGGCAGGGGAGACUGGAAUUCCUGGUGUAGCGGUGAAAUGCGCAGAUAUCAGGAGGAACACCGGUGGCGAAGGCGGGUCUCUGGGCCGGAACUGACGCUGAGGAGCGAAAGCGUGGGGAGCGAACAGG